AUGGAUGGAACCGGCAUUCCCCGGCGACAGCGACGGCGCAGCAACAGAUCGGAGUGGCGACAAUGUUCCUUCAUGGUCACCGACGAGGGCGCGAUGCGAGGUGAGGAAGUGGGCGGCCCUGCUGCCCCGGUGCUGCAGGCCGAGGAGCUUGGGCCAGCUGGGCCUCGGGCGCGAGCGUUCCCGCUCGGGGGGAGCUCCUGUGGUCAAAGGCGAAGACGGCUGCGAGGACGGAGGACAACACGGUGGCGGCUCGGGGCUCCGGUGGCACGCGAGCAAGGCACCUAUGGGUGCUCGAGGUGGAUGGGUGGAUCGAGGGGAAGGCUCGGGUUGGUGAGGAAAGAUCGAGAGGAUACAGAGGAAAGCGCCGGUUGCGUAGGUUCGACGGUGAUUGGCCGGUGUCUGUAA
RNAcentral lists this ribosomal RNA (405 nucleotides) under Triticum aestivum (bread wheat). RNAcentral's name for it is "partial small subunit ribosomal RNA". The record is from RNAcentral. Lineage: Eukaryota; Viridiplantae; Streptophyta; Magnoliopsida; Poales; Poaceae.